Molecule: ribosomal RNA, 302 nt
Filed under: uncultured bacterium
Lineage: Bacteria
Description: partial 16S ribosomal RNA
Rfam family: Bacterial small subunit ribosomal RNA
Source: RNAcentral
GCAGUAGCCGCGGGAAUACGAAGGGGGCUAGCGUUGUUCGGAACACUGGGCGUAAAGCGCACGUAGGCGGAUACUUAAGUCAGGGGUGAAAUCCCGGGGCUCAACCUCGGAACUGCCUUUGAUACUGGGUAUCUUGAGUCCGGGAGAGGUUGGUGGAACUCCGAGUGUAGAGGUGAAAUUCGUAGAUAUUCGGAAGAACACCAGUGGCGAAGGCGGCCAACUGGCCCGGUACUGACGCUGAGGUGCGAAAGCGUGGGGAGCAAACAGGAUUAGAUACCCCUGUAGUCCCUGUCUCUUAUACA